GAAAGUAGAGGUCUCUCUGCUGAUACACUUGCUUCCUUAGCUUCAGUAAUCUACAACACAAAAGAUAUGGAAGAUGGCAACACAGAACAAUGUGUAAUUUGUCGCAGGGAAUUUGAGAAAGGUGAAUCCUUCGUUGCACUUCCCUGCAAGCAUUCAUACCAUCCUGACUGCAUUAUUCAGUGGCGUCAAAUAAAUAAGGUACAAUGCCACUUUCAACCUAGUUAUUGUUAG
This 231-nucleotide ribosomal RNA is filed under the name Triticum aestivum (bread wheat). Its description in RNAcentral is "partial small subunit ribosomal RNA". Lineage: Eukaryota; Viridiplantae; Streptophyta; Magnoliopsida; Poales; Poaceae. The record is from RNAcentral.